GGGCGGGACACGUGGUAUCCUGUCUGAAUAUGGGGGGACCAUCCUCCAAGGCUAAAUACUCCUGACUGACCGAUAGUGAACCAGUACCGUGAGGGAAAGGCGAAAAGAACCCCGGCGAGGGGAGUGAAAAAGAACCUGAAACCGUGUACGUACAAGCAGUGGGAGCACAGAGCAAUCUGUGUGACUGCGUACCUUUUGUAUAAUGGGUCAGCGACUUAUAUUCUGUAGCAAGGUUAACCGAAUAGGGGAGCCGAAGGGAAACCGAGUCUUAACCGGGCGUUAAGUUGCAGGGUAUAGACCCGAAACCCGGUGAUCUAGCCAUGGGCAGGUUGAAGGUUGGGUAACACUAACUGGAGGACCGAACCGACUAAUGUUGAAAAAUUAGCGGAUGACUUGUGGCUGGGGGUGAAAGGCCAAUCAAACCGGGAGAUAGCUGGUUCUCCCCGAAAGCUAUUUAGGUAGCGCCUCGUGAAUUCAUCUCCGGGGGUAGAGCACUGUUUCGGCAAGGGGGUCAUCCCGACUUACCAACCCGAUGCAAACUGCGAAUACCGGAGAAUGUUAUCACGGGAGACACACGGCGGGUGCUAACGUCCGUCGUGAAGAGGGAAACAACCCAGACCGCCAGCUAAGGUCCCAAAGUCAUGGUUAAGUGGGAAACGAUGUGGGAAGGCCCAGACAGCCAGGAUGUUGGCUUAGAAGCAGCCAUCAUUUAAAGAAAGCGUAAUAGCUCACUGGUCGAGUCGGCCUGCGCGGAAGAUGUAACGGGGCUAAACCAUGCACCGAAGCUGCGGCAGCGACACUGUGUGUUGUUGGGUAGGGGAGCGU
RNAcentral lists this ribosomal RNA (825 nucleotides) under Escherichia coli. Its description in RNAcentral is "partial 23S ribosomal RNA". It matches the Rfam family "Bacterial large subunit ribosomal RNA", at positions 415 to 1239 of the family's 2925-position model. The record is from RNAcentral. Lineage: Bacteria; Pseudomonadati; Pseudomonadota; Gammaproteobacteria; Enterobacterales; Enterobacteriaceae.